RNAcentral lists this ribosomal RNA (273 nucleotides) under uncultured bacterium. RNAcentral describes it as "partial 16S ribosomal RNA". It matches the Rfam family "Bacterial small subunit ribosomal RNA", at positions 1228 to 1500 of the family's 1533-position model. The record is from RNAcentral.
CAAUGGCGUAAACAAAGGGAAGCGAGCCUGUGAAGGGGAGCAAAUCCCAAAAAUAACGUCCCAGUUCGGAUUGUAGUCUGCAACCCGACUACAUGAAGCUGGAAUCGCUAGUAAUCGCGGAUCAGAAUGCCGCGGUGAAUACGUUCCCGGGUCUUGUACACACCGCCCGUCACACCAUGGGAGUCGGAAAUGCCCGAAGUCGGUGACCGAACCGAAAGGAAGGAGCCGCCGAAGGCAGGUCUGGUGACUGGGGUGAAGUCGUAACAAGGUAAC